UUUAGACAAUCUUCCCUCGAGUGGGAAACAACCUGGCGAAAGUCGGGCUAAUGUCCCAUAAGACCACAUUCUGGCAUCAGAGAGAGGUCAAAGGUCCGCAAGGGCCGCUGGAGGAGGAGUCUAAAUCCUAUCAUGGUAGUUGGUGAGGUAACGGCUCACCAAGCCUACGACGGGUAGCCGGCCUGAAAGGGUGAUCGGCCACACUGGCACUGAGACACGGGCCAG
Molecule: ribosomal RNA, 225 nt
Filed under: uncultured bacterium
Lineage: Bacteria
Description: partial 16S ribosomal RNA
Rfam family: Bacterial small subunit ribosomal RNA
Source: RNAcentral